CAGUAGCCGCGGGAAUACGGAGGGGGCUAGCGUUGUUCGGAAUUACUGGGCGUAAAGCGCACGUAGGCGGCUUUGCAAGUCAGAGGUGAAAGCCCGGGGCUCAACCCCGGAAUUGCCUUUGAGACUGCAGGGCUAGCAGGUGAGAGAGGUGAGUGGAAUUCCGAGUGUAGAGGUGAAAUUCGUAGAUAUUAGGAAGAACACCAGUGGCGAAGGCGGCUCACUGGCCCGGAACUGACGCUGAGGUACGAAAGCGUGGGGAGCAAACAGGAUUAGAUACCCCAGUAGUCCCUGUCUCUUAUAC
RNAcentral lists this ribosomal RNA (301 nucleotides) under uncultured bacterium. RNAcentral's name for it is "partial 16S ribosomal RNA". It matches the Rfam family "Bacterial small subunit ribosomal RNA", at positions 509 to 807 of the family's 1533-position model. The record is from RNAcentral.